GUGAGGAAUAUUGGUCAAUGGGCGAGAGCCUGAACCAGCCACGUCGCGUGAAGGAAGACGGUUCUAUGGAUUGUAAACUUCUUUUAUGGGGGAGUAAAGAGACGUACGUGUACGUUGUUGCAAGUACCCCAUGAAUAAGCAUCGGCUAACUCCGUGCCAGCAGCCGCGGUAAUACGGAGGAUGCGAGCGUUAUCCGGAUUUAUUGGGUUUAAAGGGUGCGUAGGUGGCCGAUUAAGUCGGUGGUGAAAAGCUGUGGCUCAACCACAGUCUUGCCGUCGAAACUGGUUGGCUUGAGUAUGGAUGAAGUAGGCGGAAUGCGUGGUGUAGCGGUGAAAUGCUUAGAUAUCACGCAGAACUCCGAUUGCGAAGGCAGCUUACUAAGCCACAACUGACACUGAAGCACGAAAGCGUGGGUAUCAAACAGGAUUAGAAACCCUAGUAGUCC
RNAcentral lists this ribosomal RNA (445 nucleotides) under uncultured bacterium. RNAcentral describes it as "bacterial SSU rRNA". It matches the Rfam family "Bacterial small subunit ribosomal RNA", at positions 354 to 796 of the family's 1533-position model. The record is from RNAcentral.